GUGAUGGAUGCACCUGGAAGGGGACCCUGAAAGAAUACGAGAGCUGCCACGAGGGCCGCUGCCCGCUCAUGCUGACCGAAUGUCCCGCGUGCAAAGGCCUGGUCCGCCUUGGUGAAAAGGAGCGCCACCUGGAGCACGAGUGCCCGGAGAGAAGCCUGAGCUGCCGGCAUUGCCGGGCGCCCUGCUGCGGAGCAGACGUGAAGGCGCACCACGAGGUCUGCCCCAAGUUUCCCUUAACUUGUGACGGCUGCGGCAAGAAGAAGAUCCCCCGGGAGAAGGUGAGUGUCCUUCACCUCCUUGGAGGACCGCGGGGCGGGGCCCAUGUGUUGGACGUGAGGGUCCCGUGGGUGGGGGUGGGGCAGGUUAUGACCCUUGUGCCC
Molecule: small RNA, 380 nt
Filed under: Pan troglodytes (chimpanzee)
Lineage: Eukaryota; Metazoa; Chordata; Mammalia; Primates; Hominidae
Description: processed transcript
Source: RNAcentral